This 97-nucleotide ribosomal RNA is filed under the name uncultured bacterium. Its description in RNAcentral is "partial 16S ribosomal RNA". The record is from RNAcentral.
CGACACGCCCGUCACGCCAUGGAAGUGGCGAGCGCCCGAAGUCCGUGUCGGAACCGCAAGGACAAGCGGCCGAAGGCCGAGCGUCAUGACUGGGGCG